This 583-nucleotide ribosomal RNA is filed under the name Klebsiella pneumoniae subsp. pneumoniae Ecl8. RNAcentral describes it as "23S ribosomal RNA". It matches the Rfam family "Bacterial large subunit ribosomal RNA", at positions 2349 to 2925 of the family's 2925-position model. The record is from RNAcentral. Lineage: Bacteria; Pseudomonadati; Pseudomonadota; Gammaproteobacteria; Enterobacterales; Enterobacteriaceae.
GUGCAAUGGCAUAAGCUAGCUUGACUGCGAGCGUGACGGCGCGAGCAGGUGCGAAAGCAGGUCAUAGUGAUCCGUGGUUCUGAAUGGAAGGGCCAUCGCUCAACGGAUAAAAGGUACUCCGGGGAUAACAGGCUGAUACCGCCCAAGAGUUCAUAUCGACGGCGGUGUUUGGCACCUCGAUGUCGGCUCAUCACAUCCUGGGGCUGAAGUAGGUCCCAAGGGUAUGGCUGUUCGCCAUUUAAAGUGGUACGCGAGCUGGGUUUAGAACGUCGUGAGACAGUUCGGUCCCUAUCUGCCGUGGGCGCUGGAGAAUUGAGGGGGGCUGCUUCUAGUACGAGAGGACCGGAGUGGACGCAUCACUGGUGUUCGGGUUGUCAUGCCAAUGGCACUGCCCGGUAGCUAAAUGCGGAAGAGAUAAGUGCUGAAAGCAUCUAAGCACGAAACUUGCCCCGAGAUGAGUUCUCCCUGAGACUUUAAGUCUCCUGAAGGAACGUUGAAGACGACGACGUUGAUAGGCCGGGUGUGUAAGCGCAGCGAUGCGUUGAGCUAACCGGUACUAAUGAACCGUGAGGCUUAACCUUAC